GUGACUAUAAAAUAAAUAAGUAAUGAAAUAAUCUAAAGCUAUAAUGUUUAAAAUAUAAAUGAAUUUUUGGUCACCAGAGGUCUAAACAUUCUUAUUUGUGUUUUAUUUCAUACAUGACCAUGUGGCUGAAAGUAAAAAUAGAAACUAGAGGAAAUAAAAUAAAUCAAGCCCAAAUAAAGCACACACAAAAUAAAAAAGUAUGUCAAAUGGUAACUAACAGUCUACACACUGAUACUCUACAGCCGAGGACACGGUAAAUUGGGUAAGGGUAAGAAAGAAGAAAUGCAUGAAGUGUAGUGCAUGACUUUUGUAGAAAAUAAGCAGAGUGUUUCCCCUGCUGUGAUCACAACACGUCUAAUAUCUGUGAUAAUUGAGGGUGAAGGAGACGAAGGUACGGAGGCGCUAAGCAUUAACUGCUGUAACACGCAUGAAUAAGUAACGAGCUCGGAGCUGAAUUAAUUAGCGUCUUCUUCCUGUUCUACUCGGAUCAUCGGGGAGAAAAGGACAACGCCGAGUCCGAGAUGUUUAUUUAUUUAAUAGUGUUACGUUACAGCUUAUUAAACAUGCAUCCUGUAUUAAGAGAACGUCCACCUUAUUAAUUAUUAACGGCCAUGUUUACAGAUAACUCGUGGAAGGAUAUUUAAUGCAGCUUAGCUUUAGCUAAUCGCAGUCUAAUCUUAAAACACAGCUUUAUGAAGUGGGUAAACAAACCUGUCUAUAUGAUAGAAUUGAUUUUAAUGUUAAAUAAAUGAAUAAAUACAUACAUACAUACAUACAUACAUAAAUAAAUAAUUUAUCACACGAUUGUCAUGUGAUCGCCACAGUUCCAAGAUGGUAGAACUUACUGCCAUGGCGCUGGGCGUUAGCACACGUCCCUGCUGUUGAUCAUUUUCCUAUUAAAGCAGGAUGCCGGAGUCUUUUAUUUGUGUUUUAUUCCUUACUUAUUUACUGCUUUCAUUUUCAUAUCAUUUAAUAUAACAUUUAACUACGCAAAUAAUCAACUCAUACUAACAAAGUCAUUCGCGAUUAGUUUCAACCGAUAAAGUCUACGGUGACCGAUAUGAAAAAAUUCCUAUAUUUAUUUAUAUUUCUGUUACACUACUGCAAUUUCCCAACAAUCACGCAAUUUUAUUCACGAAGGAUGAAACGUCGUUAGUUCCGAUCCUUAUAUGGUUACAUUUAACCAGACAUUUCCUGUUCUCGCUUACGUUAUAGCAGCUACAAAUAAGCAGUCGUCCCCUCACCAGCCUCUCGUUUUUCUCCGUCUUCGGGUUAAUAAGACAAAAAAAAAAAUACAAACUCGUCCGUCCUGAAGAUGUCGAAGACUUUUACAAAGCAUUGACACCGGAGACUCCUUCCAUUAAUGCUACAUAAACGUCUC
Molecule: long non-coding RNA, 1381 nt
Organism: Ictalurus punctatus (channel catfish)
Lineage: Eukaryota; Metazoa; Chordata; Actinopteri; Siluriformes; Ictaluridae
Source: Ensembl